Molecule: non-coding RNA, 273 nt
Organism: Camellia sinensis
Lineage: Eukaryota; Viridiplantae; Streptophyta; Magnoliopsida; Ericales; Theaceae
Source: RefSeq, a predicted model, not a curated record
AAAUAAUGUUUGACCUUGUUUUGUGUGUUAGCGAGAGGAUCUGAGACCACAAGGACAAAGCCUCUGCAAUCUAAGUAAGCUAAGGAGCUUAAAGUGACAAUCCAGUUCCAUUCUGCUGUGCUUUUUGGAGAUUUAAGUGCUGCAGAUCAAUGGUUUAAGGAGGCAAAAGAGAAACAUUCAACAUUGAAUGCGAUCAUAUAUGGAAAUAUAAUAUAUGCCCAUUGGUACCAUGGUUCCUGGAAUCAAGAUGGGGCGGCGGAAGAGAGCAACAAG